RNAcentral lists this ribosomal RNA (113 nucleotides) under uncultured bacterium. RNAcentral describes it as "partial 16S ribosomal RNA". It matches the Rfam family "Bacterial small subunit ribosomal RNA", at positions 1360 to 1482 of the family's 1533-position model. The record is from RNAcentral.
CGGUGAAUACGUUCCCGGACCUUGUACACACCGCCCGUCAAGCCAUGGAAGCUGGGUGUACCUAAAGUCGGUAACCGCAAGGAGCCGCCUAGGGUAAAACUAGUAACUGGGCU